CUCUGUCUCUCUCUCUCAAAAAUAAGUAACCAUAUAUAUUUUUUUUUUUUUUAAAGAAUCAAACACCUAGAAAAUAAGACUGCAGAAUUGGAGCAAUGCGACAAGAGCAAAUGACUUAAUGGUGGUUGAGGGAAGCCUUACUGGAGUCAAAAGUCUGAGAAAAAUGAAUGCAAGCAUUGGCCAAGAAGCAGUCAAGUAUUAAAGGGAUAGUCUAAGACUGGCUGAAAGAGGCUUGAUAUAGUCCAGAUAUAUUGACUCCGUCCAGAUAUAUUGACCCAAACUCAGAUAUACAGAAUAAUUAAAGAUGACCUCAUCUAGGAAAAACAAUCUUCCAGAUUGUGAGUUACACUAUGGAGAGACCCAUGUGACCAGGAACUGAUAAUUCUGUCUGAUAGCCAGUGAGGACCUGGGGUAUGACAACAGCCAUCUGAGUGAAGCUGGAAGUGCAUUUUUGAGACUUCCCAAAUAGUCUGAGGUUGGAAAUAGAUUCUUCUCCAGUUGAGCCUCGAGUUGACUGCAGUCCCUGCCAAUACCUUGGUUGUAGCCUUGUAGGAUACCUACAAGGUAUCCAGCUAAGCUGUGCCCAGAUUUCUGACCUACAGAAAUGUCCUUAAGGUGUGAUGAGAAUGCUUUUGGUGGUGAUGGAAGACAUUGGCCAUGCUCCUCCACCUCCAGAGAAUUGAGAAGCCUGGGAAUUGCUUAAAUGCACAUGGAAGUGAUAAAACCACAUGCAGUAGAAAAAGACAGCGAAGACACAGAAAGGAAAAGAUGACAGUCCAAUCCAGUGUAGACUUUACGGAGAUCAUAUGAGAGAAGAGGAGAACAAUGAUGCUUGAAAGGUGAGUGAUUUUUUUUAAAGGUAUAUAAUUUUUAAAGGUAAGGCAAUUGGGUUCCAGAGUUGCUUUUUGAAUGCAGGUCUCUCUCUUUUCUCUCUCCCUGUAUCCUUCUCUUUCUACCUUCUUUCUCCAGUAGGGAGUAUUGAUUUUUGACAGAUUUACGUGAUUUACAGAUUUAAACUAGUAUCUUUUGUUUCUAAAGUAGUAGCUUUGUGCAGAUAUUCCAAUAGUAUUACUUUUUACAAAAAACAAACUCAGAGC
Molecule: long non-coding RNA, 1097 nt
Organism: Leopardus geoffroyi (Geoffroy's cat)
Lineage: Eukaryota; Metazoa; Chordata; Mammalia; Carnivora; Felidae
Exons: 5
Source: RefSeq, a predicted model, not a curated record